RNAcentral lists this unclassified non-coding RNA (376 nucleotides) under uncultured bacterium. RNAcentral's name for it is "contains 16S-23S intergenic spacer region". The record is from RNAcentral.
UCCGAUUUGUCACCGGCAGUCUCCUAUGAGUCCCCGUCAUUACACGCUGGCAACAUAGGACAGGGGUUGCGCUCGUUGCGGCACUUAAGCCAACACCUCACGGCACGAGCUGACGACAGCCAUGCAGCACCUGUGCUGGCUCCUUACGGAGCCCUGCUUUCACAGGGUUUAACCAGCAUGUCAAGCCCAGGUAAGGUUCUUCGCGUUGCAUCGAAUUAAGCCACAUGCUCCGCCGCUUGUGCGGGUCCCCGUCAAUUCCUUUGAGUUUCGGUCUUGCGAUCGUACUCCCCAGGCGGAUAACUUAAUGCGUUAGCUUCGGCGCUGGGGGGGUCAAUUCCCUCAACACCUAGUUAUCAUCGUUUACAGCGUGGACUAC